ACGUUGGAAAAGAGACUAAGCAAAUAGGAGACAACAGGCUAGAACAUCCGAGCGAACAGAUGUACCAACAGCGCUCAGCGCGCUCAGUAUGAAUGAAAUAGUAGAAGGAGCGUACGAUAGAGAGAUUGGGAGAGCGUUGCAUUGAGAGAAAUGCAAAGAACUCUGAUUCCAUUCGACUCAACUCAACUCUCUCGGCUUUUGAGUAAUAGACUAAUUACUACUCAAUUUCUUUCGGCAAAUCUAAAGACUUUGAAAUACAAAUGGAUAUUUGUUAAUAGACAAGCUGACUUUGACUUACGUGUAUUUGUCUAGUAAGUGUUGAGAUUAAAUCCAACUCUCAUGAUCAUGCAUAUUCGUGUUGGACAUUCCUGCGGUUAAGCAAUAAGUACUUGUUGCUAAGCAUCUUGAGCGUAAGCC
This is a long non-coding RNA of Drosophila montana, 417 nucleotides long. RefSeq lists it as uncharacterized. Lineage: Eukaryota; Metazoa; Arthropoda; Insecta; Diptera; Drosophilidae. The record is from RefSeq and is a predicted model, not a curated record. The transcript has 3 exons.